GUGGGUGUAGCUCAGUUGGCAGAGCACCAGGUUGUGAUCCUGGGUGUCGCCGGUUCAAGCCCGGUCACUCACC
RNAcentral lists this transfer RNA (73 nucleotides) under Actinocorallia herbida. It matches the Rfam family "tRNA". Rfam says of the family: Transfer RNA (tRNA) molecules are approximately 80 nucleotides in length. Their secondary structure includes four short double-helical elements and three loops (D, anti-codon, and T loops). Lineage: Bacteria; Bacillati; Actinomycetota; Actinomycetes; Streptosporangiales; Thermomonosporaceae. The record is from Rfam by way of RNAcentral.